This is a long non-coding RNA of Octopus sinensis (East Asian common octopus), 493 nucleotides long. RefSeq lists it as uncharacterized. The transcript is spliced from 3 exons. NCBI's taxonomy places the organism in Eukaryota, Metazoa, Mollusca, Cephalopoda, Octopoda, Octopodidae. The record is from RefSeq and is a predicted model, not a curated record.
CGACAUUUUACAGGGUUAUGCAAUAAUUUAGAACCUCAUCGCUCUUGUUUUGAUGACAACAUCGUUCUCUAUACUCUGCGCGAAAAAGCCACCUAAUGUCUAAGUACAAGUUUAUUUUUGACCAACCACUUUCCGGGUGGCAAGGUUGUAAAGAAAAGAAAAUUGUGAUCGUCUCUUGGAAGACGAAUUUAUAGAUUUAUAACAAGUGAGAUGACUUGUAGCUGGGGAAUGAUUUUCCUUGAAAAAUCUUCAGUUCUGAUGGCUAUUUGAGAUAAAGAAAGAGAAGGAUGUUGUAGAAAGUAGCGAGAGAGAAAGGAGGUUCAAGGAGAUGAAUAUGCAAAACAGAAGAACAGAAAGAGAUAAAGAGGAGGAGAAGAAUCAAAUAUAAUGACGAAGAAGAAAUAUUAGAAUAAAUUACGUACCAUUUUCACUAACUUCAAUAUUUUAAUUUCAUAGAUAACAUUCAUCCAUCCGUAUAUACAUACAUAAGUUU